This 292-nucleotide ribosomal RNA is filed under the name uncultured bacterium. RNAcentral describes it as "partial 16S ribosomal RNA". It matches the Rfam family "Bacterial small subunit ribosomal RNA", at positions 505 to 796 of the family's 1533-position model. The record is from RNAcentral.
GUGUCAGCCGCCGCGGUAAGACGAACCGUGCGAACGUUAUUCGGAAUCACUGGGCUUAAAGGGCGCGUAGGCGGGUUGCCAAGUCUGUGGUGAAAUCCUCCGGCUCAACCGGAGAACGGCCGUGGAUACUGGCGACCUCGAGGGGGGUAGGGGCUUGCGGAACUGUGCGUGGAGCGGUGAAAUGCGUUGAUAUGCACAGGAACUCCGGUGGCGAAGGCGGCGAGCUGGACCCUUUCUGACGCUGAAGCGCGAAAGCCAGGGGAGCGAACGGGAUUAGAUACCCUCGUAGUCC